Molecule: ribosomal RNA, 891 nt
Filed under: Escherichia coli
Lineage: Bacteria; Pseudomonadati; Pseudomonadota; Gammaproteobacteria; Enterobacterales; Enterobacteriaceae
Description: partial 23S ribosomal RNA
Rfam family: Bacterial large subunit ribosomal RNA
Source: RNAcentral
GGGUUGUGAGGUUAAGCGACUAAGCGUACACGGUGGAUGCCCUGGCAGUCAGAGGCGAUGAAGGACGUGCUAAUCUGCGAUAAGCGUCGGUAAGGUGAUAUGAACCGUUAUAACCGGCGAUUUCCGAAUGGGGAAACCCAGUGUGUUUCGACACACUAUCAUUAACUGAAUCCAUAGGUUAAUGAGGCGAACCGGGGGAACUGAAACAUCUAAGUACCCCGAGGAAAAGAAAUCAACCGAGAUUCCCCCAGUAGCGGCGAGCGAACGGGGAGCAGCCCAGAGCCUGAAUCAGUGUGUGUGUUAGUGGAAGCGUCUGGAAAGGCGUGCGAUACAGGGUGACAGCCCCGUACACAAAAAUGCACAUGCUGUGAGCUCGAUGAGUAGGGCGGGACACGUGGUAUCCUGUCUGAAUAUGGGGGGACCAUCCUCCAAGGCUAAAUACUCCUGACUGACCGAUAGUGAACCAGUACCGUGAGGGAAAGGCGAAAAGAACCCCGGCGAGGGGAGUGAAAAAGAACCUGAAACCGUGUACGUACAAGCAGUGGGAGCACGCUUAGGCGUGUGACUGCGUACCUUUUGUAUAAUGGGUCAGCGACUUAUAUUCUGUAGCAAGGUUAACCGAAUAGGGGAGCCGAAGGGAAACCGAGUCUUAACUGGGCGUUAAGUUGCAGGGUAUAGACCCGAAACCCGGUGAUCUAGCCAUGGGCAGGUUGAAGGUUGGGUAACACUAACUGGAGGACCGAACCGACUAAUGUUGAAAAAUUAGCGGAUGACUUGUGGCUGGGGGUGAAAGGCCAAUCAAACCGGGAGAUAGCUGGUUCUCCCCGAAAGCUAUUUAGGUAGCGCCUCGUGAAUUCAUCUCCGGGGGUAGAGCACUGUUUCGGCAAGGGG